Non-coding RNA from Sorex araneus (European shrew), 73 nucleotides. The record is from the annotation of a RefSeq genome assembly. Lineage: Eukaryota; Metazoa; Chordata; Mammalia; Eulipotyphla; Soricidae.
CCUUCAAUAGCUCAGUUGGUAGAGUGGAGAACUGUAGAUCCUUAGGUUGCUGGUUCAAUUCCAACUCGAAGGA